Molecule: long non-coding RNA, 1291 nt
Filed under: Carassius auratus (goldfish)
Lineage: Eukaryota; Metazoa; Chordata; Actinopteri; Cypriniformes; Cyprinidae
Description: lncRNA (ENSCARG00000034120.1)
Source: RNAcentral
AACAUAUUAUGUGUCAGUGCGUAAAUGCAAUUAAUCUACUGUGUCAUGAUCUUUUAGAUGUGCUCAAAUGGACACAAAGUAUGGGUGUGGAAUUCACAGCCCACACUUCUAGUACAACUAGUACAUAAUUCCUGUGGUUAAUUGCUACUUUAGUCCGUUUCAUAAAAACUUUUAUAUAUGUUUUUGUUGUAGAUUUUCUUUAUUUAUAAAAAUAUUUUUCACAAAUAUAGCAAUCUUUCAAUGUUUGUUUAUUGUUAAUACUAUGCUUGUUCAUCAUUUAUAGUGUAUAUCAAUGAUCAUUUACAGAUUUAUUGUGUCCUGUACAGCAGAUGGGCGAAUAGACAGUCCUGGCUACUGUGCCCAGUAUUGCUCCUACACUGCCAUGGAGAAUGAUUCAAAAGAAAUCAUCUCAGUUGUUACCAUCGAUAAGAGGCAGACCGCAAGCAAUUCUGUGAUCAUGGAGAAAGAGGCUUUUGUCACGACCAAGGACAAGCUUCUUGGUGAAGUUAAGAUGGCAGAAAUUUGCACUGAUGCUCACACACAAAUUGCCUCCGUUAUGAGUAAGUUUGAAUGAUUGAAACCACAACCAGAAAAGGCUUUUGAUAUAUUACACAUGUGAACAGUAUGAUUUGUAAGCUGCUCUUAUCUCCCUUGUAAGAUAAAACAACUGGUCGCUAUAAAGAGAAAGGAAUUGUCCACUCAUGGGGCAUAUGGCAUGGGGCAAAGAAUUUAGCCAAGAUGAUCUCUGCGGCAGCACAGCAAACUGGACAAAAGAUCCUUCUCCACUGGUUAAAAGACAUUGUAAAUCACUUUUGGUUCUGCUGCAAGACGGCAGACAUGGAGCAACAGUUCAUUAUCGACCUGUCAUCUUGAGGCGUUCCAUAACCACUUGCUUAUGUGGUUCAGCUCUUCACCAAUGGUGUACGAGGCAAGAACUCUCCUGGCAGCCCUGGAUUACAACCACCGUAAAGAUAGACCACCACUGCUAAACAAAAAAGGGGAAAAGAUCUAUCGUCGAGUGUUUAAAAAAAAAACAGGAAGAUGGACGGUAUAUGCUAUGAAGGUGAACAAAGACUACAGCUACAUACCAGAUCUACAGGCAGCAAUUCUGCAUGAAAGACUACAGGCUGACAAGGGGAUGCCAAAGCGUCAGACUCUAAGGCCAGAGGAUCCACGGAGACUGGGCCUUAUUCCAAAAGUCCCACCUCCACCAAUUGACACUAUUCUUGAGUCCCAUGUGAAUAGAGGGAAAGAAGCCAUUCCUACACUAUGUGAGACGGAUGAGCCCUGA